Molecule: long non-coding RNA, 2249 nt
Organism: Solanum lycopersicum (tomato)
Lineage: Eukaryota; Viridiplantae; Streptophyta; Magnoliopsida; Solanales; Solanaceae
Source: RefSeq, a predicted model, not a curated record
AAAUACAUUGUCUUAGAAAUGAAACUGACGUCAAGGCUGAACCUCAGACUCUAAUGACAGAGCCAACAGGUAUAACCAAGUGCUAUUUACUAACAUUGGCCUAUGAGGCUUAGCUGAAUUAUUAUUUUUUUUUAAAAUGUAAUUGAAGGAACAACCAGAGCUUACUCUAUAAUUUGAAAGAAUGACUGAUCAUCCUUAAUAUCAGAGUCAAAAAACUUGGAGAUAUUCCCUUUGAAGCAUUGUGGAGAUUAGCAAUGUUGAAUAAUUGUAACUACUGAUCUGAGGAAAAACACGGUCAAAUUCAUGUAAACGACUCAUACUAGCAAUGAGUUUACAACUUCUUUUCCUUCUCCAGAUGAGGAUAUAGUCGCUGGAAAUUCAACACAGCCCAUACCAAGUGUCGUAAACCAAAAUCAGGAAACUAUAUAUGCCUUUGGGGAAUACAGUUUGUAAGUCGGCCAAAGAAGGAACCUGCUGAUGUGAGACGCACCUGAAAUUCGUAUCAGAACAUCAGGAUCAUGUGCCAUUCUCAUAUAUGAUGCUUGAAUGGCCUGCGUGAUCUCAUCAGUAGAAGUGUAGGCCACAGAGAUAAGGAGAUUGCUCUUGGUGUUUUUGGCAGUGACUUACGUACAUCGCCUUCUCAGCUGCAACUCUAACCGGCUAGUCAAGGAGCUUCAGGUUCCCCACGAAAUGAAUUCUCACUCCAUAUUCGUUGUCUAAAAAGCAAAUUCUUAGCUCAUAUUUGCCCCCAUCAUUUUACGUAUCACCUUCCAUAUCCGGGUUCUGAAUCCAUGGUGGCUUGUAGAAUAAGCUGCAGCUUGGCUGCUGUGUGUUCAUAUGUAUCAAAAUGUAUGUAUUGUUCUCAAGAAAUGAAAAGUGAUGUUAGUGGAAACAGCCUCUUCACCCCAUAAAAGGCAGGGGGUGAAGUUUGUGUCCAUCCUACCUACCGUCUCCAGACCCUAUUCGUGAAAUUACACUUGGACAUGUUUGUUUCUUGGAAAACUCAAGAAAGCGCCUUUCUUUCUUCAUCCAGAACACAACCCCAGUACAGUUCACAAGCGUCAUAUUAACUAAUUCGAGAUAAGUUCUGUUUAGUGCAUUAUUAGUUUCCUUCUGUCUUUCAUGAAGAUUGAAGGGCUUUGUUUCUAUACUCUCUCUUUCACAUCGUAUCAUUCUCUCUCUCUCUCUCUCUCUUCCACUGUGAUAGCUGCUAACUCGUUUUUCUCCUGUUGUCGUUGUAUUAUCUUUCUGCAAAAACAUUCAUCCUGGCAAGAAAACCAAUACUAGAAACAUUUUUAAGUCAUCCAACUUGUGAACCAAUAUCAGAGUAAUUUUAAGAUUCUAGACAAUAAAUUAACAGGGUCUUCUGUGAACAUAUACCAAGCAGUGUACAAGGAAAAUAAAAACCAUAAAUGAAAUUCAACGACAAACCGACAGAAGAAUGAUAAAGCACUAUUACGUUGUGGUCACCCCAAUUCACCUUGCAGAUACUGAGACAGAUGUGGCAAUAAAAAAGGGUGGCGGCUAGAAGAGAGAGGGUCCACCCACUGGCACGCUGGUGAACACCAUGCUGAACCUUCACUUCUUUUAUUGCUCGUCCCCGUAAUUGGCCCUUCAAAGUAACUAACACCACACUAAACCACUAAGUAGGCCAAUUCCACAAAACACCAAACAAGUCAUAAAUUAAAUAACAUGAUUUUGACUCGACCUAUUGGCCAUCUUUUUCUGUAAAAAUGGAAGUGCGACAGAGACGUGUACUUUAAACUUUUGUUUUAUCCACUCACUUAUUCAGUCGGGGAUUGCCAAGAUGGAACUUAGGAAGUAUACGUAUGAAUUAUGAUGUAAAUUUUUCACCUAUAUCACUCAAGCUUCUUUUUUUUUUAUUAACAGAGGAAGGAUACGUAUGAAUUAUUACAUGCAGCUUCAAUUCUUUUUACUUGGAAUAAUUCCCAUAAAUUGUAAAACUUUUAAAUCUUUGAAGAUUAUUUUUAAUGUCAUAAUUUAAUCUACUUUAUAAUCUCUGUUGAAACUUAAAAUUAACGAACUGACAUAUUUUGGAUACUGAGGGAAGCACGCCAGAUACAUAUUGUACAAGAAGUAAUUAGAUCCAUCCCUUGAAAAUAAAAAAGGUUCACAGUCACAUUUUCAAAUCAAAAAAUUAAUAAUUGCAAAAGUAGAUAACACCUAUAGCAGUCCAAGUCUCAUGCCAAACCUCUACAUUCAAUCCUGUUAAUUGUAAGCCAAAGAAA